GCAGUUAAUUACACAUUUACGUUAUGAUCCUUGCCACGAAGAAGCAUCCGUGCCAGCUGAAAUGUACACUUUGUGUUUUGAUAACUUAGCACUUCCUCCGUCCGACUACUGGAUGGUAUUUGUCGAAGCUGAGAACAAAUGACAAGCGGUCCUUGUGCUUAUUACUUCCCCUCAUGGCUAGUUUUCAGGCAACAGGACCCUCCAAAGACGACCGGUCUCCUGAAAACCAUUAAACUGAGGACAGAGGAGUCAAAGCUGGCCUACGGCAGGGGAAGGCGCAGGAAGACUGCGCUGCUUUGGAAGGAUUGGGGAACCAGAGGUGGAAAAAGAACUAGGUGGCUCCAGGUCAGUGGAAGCAUCACCAGGAGACAACUGAAAGGACUCUUGUUCCUCGUGGACAGAGUAUGUUCCAGCACCGUCCUCUGUCUGCCCCUGGCCUCCGAUGCCUGUUCACCAGAAAUUCCCAGGCACAUCUCCAGGCUCGGUUCCGGUCAACCUGAGCCCCUCCCCUGAGCUCAUGACCCCACGUUAGUACUGUUGGUGCCAGCUUGUCACUCCACGGCCGAGACCCGCCGAGACCCGCCAUCUCGGUGUCUCAGCUGCCAAUUUUCCCACCAAUGUUUGCUCUUUUUUUCA
Mustela erminea (ermine) is the source of this 636-nucleotide long non-coding RNA. RefSeq lists it as uncharacterized. The record is from RefSeq and is a predicted model, not a curated record. The transcript is spliced from 3 exons. NCBI's taxonomy places the organism in Eukaryota, Metazoa, Chordata, Mammalia, Carnivora, Mustelidae.